GUGUAAACGCUAACAGUAUUUUUAUUUAAAGACAGAAUGCUCAGGACUGGAAGUACAAAAAACAUCAAGAUUUGCUGCUGCAGAGGAAACUGAUACAUCGGGUGGCUUCUGUAUGCCCUGAAAAUAUGAGGCAGCUGCAGGACAACCAUGAAGUGGUACACUGAAUAGGACUCCCUGUGUUCUUGCUUACCACACUAAGAACCAGACCU
RNAcentral lists this long non-coding RNA (209 nucleotides) under Struthio camelus australis. Its description in RNAcentral is "lncRNA (ENSSCUG00000011719.1)". Lineage: Eukaryota; Metazoa; Chordata; Aves; Struthioniformes; Struthionidae. The record is from RNAcentral.